CCUAGGGAGAGAAUGACCCAGGAGCUCCUUCCAACCUUACAGCAAGUGUGUUUUCAGUGUGGUUCAUUCAGCACCCUUGGUGUAUAUGAGGGAUGUAAAGAAGUGGAAUGACUUUGAAAAUCUGUUGAUUCAGGAGGAAGAUGAUCUGUUACCCACUUCAUUUUCAUGAAUGCUUUGUUUAGGAAGACAAGGUCUCACUCUAUCAUCGAGGCUGGAGUGCAG
Long non-coding RNA from Homo sapiens (human), 222 nucleotides. RefSeq lists it as uncharacterized. The record is from RefSeq and is a predicted model, not a curated record. The transcript has 3 exons. NCBI's taxonomy places the organism in Eukaryota, Metazoa, Chordata, Mammalia, Primates, Hominidae.